This 460-nucleotide ribosomal RNA is filed under the name uncultured bacterium. RNAcentral describes it as "partial 16S ribosomal RNA". It matches the Rfam family "Bacterial small subunit ribosomal RNA", at positions 338 to 795 of the family's 1533-position model. The record is from RNAcentral.
CCUACGGGUGGCAGCAGUGAGGAAUAUUGCACAAUGGACGCAAGUCUGAACCAGCCAUGCCGCGUGCAUGAAGACGGCUCUAUGAGUUGUAAACUGCUUUUGUACGAGGGUAAACGCAGAUACGCGUAUCUGUCUGACAGUCUCGCACGAAUAAGGAUCGGCUAACUCCGGGCCAGCAGCAGCGGUAAUCCGGAGGAUUCAAGCGUUAUCCGGAUUUAUUGGGUUUAAAGGGUGCGUAGGCGGUCGGAUAAGUUAGAGGUGAAAUCCCGAGGCUAAACUUCGGAAUUGCCUAUGAGACUGUUCAGCUAGAGAGUAGUUGCGGUAGGCGGAAUGUAUGGUGUAGCGGUGAAAUGCUCAGAGAUCAUACAGAACACCAAUUGCGAAGGCAGCUUACCAAGCUACUUCUGACGUUGAGGCACGAAAGCGUGGGGAGCAAACAGGAUUAGAUACCCCGGUAGUC